GGAAGUAAAAGUCGUAACAAGGUCUCCGUUGGUGAACCAGCGGAGGGAUCAUUACCGAGUUUACAACUCCCAAACCCCUGUGAACAUACCACUUGUUGCCUCGGCGGAUCAGCCCGCUCCCGGUAAAACGGGACGGCCCGCCAGAGGACCCCUAAACUCUGUUUCUAUAUGUAACUUCUGAGUAAAACCAUAAAUAAAUCAAAACUUUCAACAACGGAUCUCUUGGUUCUGGCAUCGAUGAAGAACGCAGCAAAAUGCGAUAAGUAAUGUGAAUUGCAGAAUUCAGUGAAUCAUCGAAUCUUUGAACGCACAUUGCGCCCGCCAGUAUUCUGGCGGGCAUGCCUGUUCGAGCGUCAUUUCAACCCUCAAGCACAGCUUGGUGUUGGGACUCGCGUUAAUUCGCGUUCCCCAAAUUGAUUGGCGGUCACGUCGAGCUUCCAUAGCGUAGUAGUAAAACCCUCGUUACUGGUAAUCGUCGCGGCCACGCCGUUAAACCCCAACUUCUGAAUGUUGACCUCGGAUCAGGUAGGAAUACCCGCUGAACUUAAGCAUAUC
This 555-nucleotide ribosomal RNA is filed under the name Fusarium oxysporum. RNAcentral's name for it is "eukaryotic LSU rRNA". The stretch from base 203 to 356 matches the Rfam family "5.8S ribosomal RNA". The record is from RNAcentral. Lineage: Eukaryota; Fungi; Ascomycota; Sordariomycetes; Hypocreales; Nectriaceae.